RNAcentral lists this unclassified non-coding RNA (518 nucleotides) under Hevea brasiliensis (rubber tree). Lineage: Eukaryota; Viridiplantae; Streptophyta; Magnoliopsida; Malpighiales; Euphorbiaceae. The record is from RNAcentral.
GGACAAGUAAGUCCAAGGUCCCAAGGAUCAAGUGUAACAGGUAGGACAGUUUCUCAAUCUGACAACAGAAAGGCUGGAGAGGAAAUUAUAAAGAAGAGAAAAGUGUCAACAGCUCAAGAAGAGUUCGAAAAUUCGUCAUCUGGAGAUGACUUUUUCACAGUGUCACCUUCUCUUGUAACUCUGGGUCCUGGAGUAAGGAUCACCAAUGUUGCUGCUGGUGGUCGUCACACUUUAGCAUUGUCAGAUAUGGGACAGGUUUGGGGUUGGGGCUAUGGAGGCGAAGGGCAGCUAGGUUUGGGAUCCCGGAUAAAAAUGGUGUCUUCUCCUCAUCUCAUACCAUGCCUUGAUACAUCUGUUUCUGAGAAAGACAGGUCCUUGAUAGUCCCCCAAGGAAGCUUGAAUUCGUCGGCACAAGCUUCUAAAUUCCCUGGAAAUUAUGUGAAAGAAAUUGCUUGUGGAGGUCGCCAUAGUGCUGUAGUAACAGAUGCAGGAGCACUAUUUACAUUUGGAUGGGGACU